CUGGACCAAAGAGGAAACUGACAACACACUGACAGAAGAAGACAGAGAAGGUCACUUCUGAUCCCUCAAAGUCCUCAUCUUCUGUGUCUGAAAUUGAACAGCUGGGCAACAGCUUUUGAACAGCUUUCUUCAUCAAACAUGCCGGGUUCCCUCUCAUCAUGGUUGAUCGCUGCCAGUGUACGUAGUGUACGUAUUACGUCCCUGUGUCAGCGGGAAAUGGUCCGACAGUCAGCCUCGCGUGUGGAGACUUCAGAAGAUGCCAGACCUCACAAAGGUUUCAGAUGAUGGAAACUAUAGAUGAACAUGCAAAGCUGCUUAAUAAUCCUUAUAUUGUAAUCAUUGCCCUAAAAGGUAAGUUUUCAGGGUGAUUUAAGGUGUGCUCCUUCAUUUUCUGCUUGUAUUCCUAUGUAUUUAUUCGAUAAGACGUGUGCAUUUUCGAUUCUGCUUAACGAUUCUAGCUUUCAAAUUCCAAUUUGAUUAAAAACGAUUAAGUGCAGGAAUGGAAAGAAUUAGCGUCCUGUUUGUGUGCAGCGUGCAUGAAGCGCAAGCUCGUGCACAGACAGCAGCAGUCGCGCUGUGGGUUCUUGGUUUGUGUCCGUUCUUGGACUUUUCCGUGUAUUUCCACUGUAGAAAAGGUUGUUCAGAGUCUAAACUGACUUCUUUCAUAUUUGUCAAGCAAUAAACAGAAAACUACAUCAGUAUAUCAUCAUAAACACAGCCGUUUUCGUCUUACGUGAACGUAAACAGAUGAGAAAGAAAACCAUUCACUGAUCUUGACUGAAUAUAUUUAAUAACUUUAAUUGAUUAAUCUUUAUUUUAUUUAUAAAAAGAAAACAAUGAGGUGUUUUUAAACUUUUAAUUACAGUUUCUAUACCUGAAAUUUUGAUGUUGCUUAUUGAUU
Carassius gibelio (silver crucian carp) is the source of this 901-nucleotide long non-coding RNA. RefSeq lists it as uncharacterized. The record is from RefSeq and is a predicted model, not a curated record. Lineage: Eukaryota; Metazoa; Chordata; Actinopteri; Cypriniformes; Cyprinidae. The transcript is spliced from 3 exons.